CGCGUGGUGUCCGGUGCGCCCCC
RNAcentral lists this non-coding RNA (23 nucleotides) under Arabidopsis thaliana (thale cress). Lineage: Eukaryota; Viridiplantae; Streptophyta; Magnoliopsida; Brassicales; Brassicaceae. The record is from RNAcentral.